Molecule: ribosomal RNA, 1400 nt
Filed under: Actinomyces sp. HMSC064C12
Lineage: Bacteria; Bacillati; Actinomycetota; Actinomycetes; Actinomycetales; Actinomycetaceae
Description: bacterial LSU rRNA
Rfam family: Bacterial large subunit ribosomal RNA
Source: RNAcentral
GAGGUGUGAUGGUGACCCUGUUUUUGGGGGAUAUUGGGUGAUUCUGUGCUGUCUAGAAAAGCCUCGGCGUUAGAGGGUGUGCUGCCCGUACCCUAAACCGACACAGGUGGUUUGGUAGAGAAUACUAAGACGUGCGAGUGAAUCAUGGUUAAGGAACUCGGCAAAAUGCCUCCGUAACUUUGGGAGAAGGAGGACCCGGCCUUUUACAUUACUUUUUCGGUUUUGGUGGGGGUUGGGGCGCAGAGACCAGGGGGAAGCGACUGUUUAUCAAAAACAUAGGUGUGUGCGAAGCCGUAAGGCGAUGUAUACGCACUGACGCCUGCCCGGUGCUGGAAGGUUAAGAGGAACCCUUAACUAGUUUUUGCUGGUGAAGGGGUGAAUUUAAGCCCCAGUAAACGGCGGUGGUAACUAUAACCAUCCUAAGGUAGCGAAAUUCCUUGUCGGGUAAGUUCCGACCUGCACGAAUGGCGUAACGACUUCCCUGCUGUCUCGACCGUGAGCUCGGUGAAAUUGCAUUAUGAGUAAAGAUGCUCGUUUAGCGCAGCAGGACGGAAAGACCCCGGGACCUUUACUAUAGCUUGGUAUUGGUGGUUGAUUAUUCUUGUGUAGGAUAGGUGGGAGACUGUGAGGCCGCGCCGCUAGGUGUGGUGGAGUCGUAAUGUGAAAUACCACUCUGGUGUGAUUGGCUGUCUUAACCUUGGCCCGUGAUCCGGGUUGGGGACAGUGCCUGGUGGGUAGUUUAACUGGGGCGGUUGCCUCCUAAAGGGUAACGGAGGCGCUCAAUGGUUCCCUCAUCCUGGUUGGUAAUCAGGUGUUGAGUGUAAGUGCACAAGGGAGCUUGACUGUGACACUGACGGGUGGAGCAGGUACGAAAGUAGGAACUAGUGAUCCGGCAAUGGCUUGUGGAAGCGUUGUCGCUCAACGGAUAAAAGGUACCCCGGGGAUAACAGGCUGAUCUUGCCCAAGAGUCCAUAUCGACGGCAUGGUUUGGCACCUCGAUGUCGGCUCGUCGCAUCCUGGGGCUGGAGUUGGUCCCAAGGGUUGGGCUGUUCGCCCAUUAAAGCGGUACGCGAGCUGGGUUCAGAACGUCGUGAGACAGUUCGGUCCCUAUCCGCUGCGUUCGUUGGAGAUUUGAGGGGGCCUGUCCCUAGUACGAGAGGACCGGGACGGACGAACCUCUGGUGUGCCAGUUGUACCGCCAGGUGCAUGGCUGGUUUGCUACGUUCGGGAGGGAUAACCGCUGAAAGCAUCUAAGCGGGAAGCCUGCCUUGAGAUUAGAUCUCCUUACACUGUUUUUGGUGUGUGAGGGUCCCAGUAGAUGACUGGGUUGAUAGGCCAGGAAUGUAAGGCUCGUGAGGGUUUGAGUUGACUGGUACUAAUAUCCCGAUUACUAACAAAAU